AGACCCGAAACCCGGUGAUCUAGCCAUGGGCAGGUUGAAGGUUGGGUAACACUAACUGGAGGACCGAACCGACUAAUGUUGAAAAAUUAGCGGAUGACCUGUGGCUGGGGGUGAAAGGCCAAUCAAACCGGGAGAUAGCUGGUUCUCCCCGAAAGCUAUUUAGGUAGCGCCUCGUGAAUUCAUCUCCGGGGGUAGAGCACUGUUUCGGCUAGGGGGCCAUCCCGGCUUACCAACCCGAUGCAAACUGCGAAUACCGGAGAAUGUUAUCACGGGAGACACACGGCGGGUGCUAACGUCCGUCGUGAAGAGGGAAACAACCCAGACCGCCAGCUAAGGUCCCAAAGUCAUGGUUAAGUGGGAAACGAUGUGGGAAGGCCCAGACAGCCAGGAUGUUGGCUUAGAAGCAGCCAUCAUUUAAAGAAAGCGUAAUAGCUCACUGGUCGAGUCGGCCUGCGCGGAAGAUGUAACGGGGCUAAACCAUGCACCGAAGCUGCGGCAGCGAACGUAUCACUUAAAGCGAUUCAGCGGGUUACGAUUGACGGAGCGAAGCGACGUCAAAGCGUAUACAAAGUCGAGUCGGUUUAAGGAUACGUUCGUUGGGUAGGGGAGCGUUCUGUAAGCCUGCGAAGGUGGCCUGUGAGGGUUGCUGGAGGUAUCAGAAGUGCGAAUGCUGACAUAAGUAACGAUAAAGCGGGUGAAAAGCCCGCUCGCCGGAAGACCAAGGGUUCCUGUCCAACGUUAAUCGGGGCAGGGUGAGUCGACCCCUAAGGCGAGGCCGAAAGGCGUAGUCGAUGGGAAACGGGUUAAU
Molecule: ribosomal RNA, 808 nt
Filed under: Salmonella enterica
Lineage: Bacteria; Pseudomonadati; Pseudomonadota; Gammaproteobacteria; Enterobacterales; Enterobacteriaceae
Also listed under: 1 other name
Description: partial 23S ribosomal RNA
Rfam family: Bacterial large subunit ribosomal RNA
Source: RNAcentral